This 568-nucleotide ribosomal RNA is filed under the name uncultured bacterium. RNAcentral describes it as "bacterial SSU rRNA". It matches the Rfam family "Bacterial small subunit ribosomal RNA", at positions 358 to 917 of the family's 1533-position model. The record is from RNAcentral.
GAGNNUUUGCGCAUACGGGNAAACCCUGNCGCACAACGCCGCGUGGGUGAUGAAGGCCUUCGGGUCGUAAAGCCCUGUCAGGUGGGAAGAAACCCAUCGGUGCAAACAGCACCGGUGAUUGACGGUACCACCGGAGGAAGCACCGGCUAACUCCGUGCCAGCAGCCGCGGUAAUACGGAGGGUGCAAGCGUUGUUCGGAAUUACUGGGCGUAAAGCGCGUGUAGGCGGUUGGGUAAGUCAGAUGUGAAAGCCCCCGGCUUAACCGGGGAACGGCAUUUGAAACUGCCUGGCUGGAGUUCGGGAGAGGAGAGUGGAAUUCCUGGUGUAGAGGUGAAAUUCGUAGAUAUCAGGAGGAACACCGGUGGCGAAGGCGGCUCUCUGGCCCGAUACUGACGCUGAGACGCGAAAGCGUGGGGAGCAAACAGGAUUAGAUACCCUGGUAGUCCACGCCGUAAACGAUGGGCACUAGGUGUGGGAGGUAUUGACCCCUUCCGUGCCGAAGCUAACGCAUUAAGUGCCCCGCCUGGGGAGUACGACCGCAAGGUUAAAACUCAAAAAAAUUGACGGA